Molecule: ribosomal RNA, 415 nt
Filed under: Shigella flexneri CDC 796-83
Lineage: Bacteria; Pseudomonadati; Pseudomonadota; Gammaproteobacteria; Enterobacterales; Enterobacteriaceae
Description: SSU rRNA
Rfam family: Bacterial small subunit ribosomal RNA
Source: RNAcentral
AAAUUGAAGAGUUUGAUCAUGGCUCAGAUUGAACGCUGGCGGCAGGCCUAACACAUGCAAGUCGAACGGUAACAGGAAUCAGCUUGCUGAUUCGCUGACGAGUGGCGGACGGGUGAGUAAUGUCUGGGAAACUGCCUGAUGGAGGGGGAUAACUACUGGAAACGGUAGCUAAUACCGCAUAAUGUCGCAAGACCAAAGAGGGGGACCUUCGGGCCUCUUGCCAUCGGAUGUGCCCAGAUGGGAUUAGCUUGUUGGUGGGGUAACGGCUCACCAAGGCGACGAUCCCUAGCUGGUCUGAGAGGAUGACCAGCCACACUGGAACUGAGACACGGUCCAGACUCCUACGGGAGGCAGCAGUGGGGAAUAUUGCACAAUGGGCGCAAGCCUGAUGCAGCCAUGCCGCGUGUAUGAAGAA